ACAGCAGCCGCCGCGGGAAUACAGAGGGUGCGAGCGUUAAUCGGAUUUACUGGGCGUAAAGCGUGCGUAGGCGGCUUCUUAAGUCGGAUGUGAAAUCCCUGAGCUUAACUUAGGAAUUGCAUUCGAUACUGGGAAGCUAGAGUAUGGGAGAGGAUGGUAGAAUUCCAGGUGUAGCGGUGAAAUGCGUAGAGAUCUGGAGGAAUACCGAUGGCGAAGGCAGCCAUCUGACCUAAUACUGACGCUGAGGUACGAAAGCAUGGGGAGCAAACAGGAUUAGAUACCCGUGUAGUCCCUGUCUCUUAUAC
This 305-nucleotide ribosomal RNA is filed under the name uncultured bacterium. RNAcentral's name for it is "partial 16S ribosomal RNA". It matches the Rfam family "Bacterial small subunit ribosomal RNA", at positions 508 to 807 of the family's 1533-position model. The record is from RNAcentral.